RNAcentral lists this transfer RNA (34 nucleotides) under Catostemma albuquerquei. Its description in RNAcentral is "partial tRNA-Gly". Lineage: Eukaryota; Viridiplantae; Streptophyta; Magnoliopsida; Malvales; Malvaceae. The record is from RNAcentral.
UUUAUAUACAAUAAUCGAAUUGUAGCGGGUAUAG